RNAcentral lists this ribosomal RNA (397 nucleotides) under uncultured bacterium. RNAcentral describes it as "bacterial SSU rRNA". It matches the Rfam family "Bacterial small subunit ribosomal RNA", at positions 362 to 773 of the family's 1533-position model. The record is from RNAcentral.
UAUUGGACAAUGGGGGAAACCCUGAUCCAGCGACGCCGCGUGAGUGAAGAAGUAUUUCGGUAUGUAAAGCUCUAUCAGCAGGGAAGAAAGAAAUGACGGUACCUGAAGAAGAAGCCCCGGCUAACUCCGUCACAGCAGCCGCGGUAAUACGUAGGGGGCAAGCGUUAUCCGGAUUUACUGGGUGUAAAGGGAGCGUAGACGGCGGGGCAAGUCUGGAGUGAAAGGCCGGGGCCCAACCCCGGGACCGCUCUGGAAACUGCCCGGCUGGAGUGCGGGAGAGGUAAGCGGAAUUCCUAGUGUAGCGGUGAAAUGCGUAGAUAUUAGGAGGAACACCAGCGGCGAAGGCGGCUUACUGGACCGUGACUGACGUUGAGGCUCGAAAGCGUGGGGAGCAAAC